UCGAGGAUCUUCGGCAAUGGGCGCAAGCCUGACCGAGCGACGCCGCGUGCGGGAUGAAGGCCUUCGGGUUGUAAACCGCUGUCAGUGGGGAGGAAAUGUACGUGGGUUCUCCCACGUAUUUGACCUAUCCGCAGAGGAAGUGUGGGCUAAGUUCGUGCCAGCAGCCGCGGUAAGACGAACCACACAAACGUUAUUCGGAAUUACUGGGCUUAAAGGGUGCGUAGGCUGCGCAGAAAGUUGGGUGUGAAAUCCCUCGGCUCAACCGAGGAACUGCGCCCAAUACUGCUGUGCUCGAGGGAGACAGAGGUGAGCGGAACUUAGGGUGGAGCGGUGAAAUGCGUUGAUAUCCUAAGGAACACCCGUGGCGAAAGCGGCUCACUGGGUCUCUUCUGACGCUGAGGCACGAAAGCUAGGGUAGCGAACGGGAUUAGAUACCCCCGUAGUCC
RNAcentral lists this ribosomal RNA (446 nucleotides) under uncultured bacterium. Its description in RNAcentral is "bacterial SSU rRNA". It matches the Rfam family "Bacterial small subunit ribosomal RNA", at positions 355 to 796 of the family's 1533-position model. The record is from RNAcentral.